RNAcentral lists this long non-coding RNA (1058 nucleotides) under Cyanistes caeruleus (blue tit). RNAcentral's name for it is "lncRNA (ENSCCEG00000015042.1)". Lineage: Eukaryota; Metazoa; Chordata; Aves; Passeriformes; Paridae. The record is from RNAcentral.
AUGUUUGGAGAAAUUGGAAAGCCAGAGCUUGUGGUGUGCCCAGCUGAUAAAGGGAUUGCUUUCCUUUCCCUGUCUGGUGCCUGGGUCUCCUGUGCAGUCACACAAACUCAACCCCAUCAGAUGCCACCAGUUGGUGCUGAUGCAGUGGGCUUAAGCUCCUUAUCUCCCUUCAAUCCACGCUGCAUGUUUCAUCAUUCAUGUUUACUCCUUUUGAAAUGUAGAAUAAAGAGCCCUUUUUUCAAUUAUAUUUCUUCUUUCCUUCCCUCUGUCAGUUUUAUUGCUGUGUCCCUUAAUUGCUGUCUUUCACUAAAGGUUUCCAGGUUUCACCAUGCCAGUAAAUAAAUUAUUUCCAUCUAUAACUCCAAAUAGUCUGUUCAUAGCUGUGUAUAUGAGCAGUGGCUAAUAUAUUAAUUCAUAUUCUGAAAGGGCCCCACCUUAUUAUUAAAACCUAAUUAACAUUUACUGAGCAGAAGAAAACUGUGUGGAAGAAGCAGUUCUCUCUAGCCUGUAUAAUACAUACAUGCUCAUUUUUCCUUUCCUGGUUUUGUGUCCUUUACCCGUAUUCGAAUGGAUUUGUUCUAACUCCCUUUGCUUUAGGAAUGGCACAUAGAGACCCCUGGUUUCCCACCUGAAGCCUGUGGCAUGUGAAUGAAGACAUUCUCCUGAGAGCAGUGAGUAUCCUAGUGGCAUGGGAAGGAUUCCCACAGGUCUCAGAAUUCAUUGUGAGCAGACACAUGGAGCCAUGGCCAAAGCUACAUUCCUGUCUGCUCCCCAGCUGUAUUCCUGCACUGCUCCUCCUGCUCUCACAGUCAUGAGUUUGAGGGGGAAAUUUAGUAGACCAAAUUUAGCAGUUUAUUAAGAUCUCAUUUAACAGAAAGGAACACCUUCUCUAGUGGUUCAGACCAUUUGAAAUGGUCUUAAUUCCAUUCUGGGGUGUAUCCUUCACUCUCUACUGUGAUAGGUAUUCUUUGUCUCCCCUGGCAGUGGACAGUAAACAACCUAAUAUCAUAUUCUAAACAUCCCAGAGAUGCAGAGAUGCAUCCCAUGGUGUAAAUGCA